UACGGAGGAGGCAAGCGUUAUCCGGAAUUAUUGGGCGUAAAGCGUCCGCAGGUGGCACCUCAAGUCUGCUGUCAAAGACCGGGGCUUAACCCCAGAAAGGCAGUGGAAACUGAAGUGCUAGAGUGCAGUAGGGGUAGAGGGAAUUCCCGGUGUAGCGGUGAAAUGCGUAGAGAUCGGGAGGAACACCGGUGGCGAAGGCGGGUCUCUGGGCGAACAACUGACGCUGAGGAGCGAAAGCGUGGGGAGCGAACGGGAUUGAGAAACCCCGGU
Molecule: ribosomal RNA, 270 nt
Filed under: uncultured bacterium
Lineage: Bacteria
Description: partial 16S ribosomal RNA
Rfam family: Bacterial small subunit ribosomal RNA
Source: RNAcentral